CUACAAUGGGUAGUACAGAGGGUUGCCAAACCGUAAGGUGGAGCUAAUCCCUUAAAGCUACUCUCAGUUCGGAUUGUAGGCUGAAACUCGCCUACAUGAAGCUGGAGUUACUAGUAAUCGCAGAUCAGAAUGCUGCGGUGAAUGCGUUCCCGGGUCUUGUACACACCGCCCGUCACACCACGGGAGUUGGAGACGCCCGAAGCCGAUUAUCUAACCUUUUGGAAGAAGUCGUCGAAGGUGGAAUCAAUAACUGGGGUGAAGUCGUAACAAGGUAGCCGUAUCGGAAGGUGCGGCUGGAUC
This 300-nucleotide ribosomal RNA is filed under the name Clostridioides difficile. RNAcentral's name for it is "partial 16S ribosomal RNA". It matches the Rfam family "Bacterial small subunit ribosomal RNA", at positions 1225 to 1524 of the family's 1533-position model. The record is from RNAcentral. Lineage: Bacteria; Bacillati; Bacillota; Clostridia; Peptostreptococcales; Peptostreptococcaceae.